Molecule: long non-coding RNA, 411 nt
Filed under: Prunus persica (peach)
Lineage: Eukaryota; Viridiplantae; Streptophyta; Magnoliopsida; Rosales; Rosaceae
Description: long non-coding RNA (PPER_LNC000124)
Source: RNAcentral
UUUUAUGGAACAUAACUAUCCACGUUAUCUUUUUUUAAUUAUAAAAAUAAAAUAAAAAAGAAAAAAGAAAACCAACGCAUGUGCUAAGAGGCUAGUGAGAAAGAAAGAGAGAAAUGGAUGGGUUGGGAGGGGACGGUGAUGAGAGGAGAUGGGGAACAGGCUGUUGGGUUGGGUACAAUACAAGAGGGGCUAGGUUUUUUUGUUUGUUUUUGUUUUUCUCUCUCUCUCUCUCUUUCUCUGUUUUUUCUCUAUUUUUUGCUAUUAUUUAAUAAUUUUUUCCUUCAAAAUUACGAAUUUACCCCAAAAAAUCUGUCAUAUUUCCUCACCCACCUUAUCUUCUCACCCAUCAUGUAAAUUUGAAAAAAUAUAAUCCUAUCUUUCCGCCUUAUUCUUAAAAUACCCUUUAAUUAU